Long non-coding RNA from Bombus terrestris (buff-tailed bumblebee), 3323 nucleotides. RefSeq lists it as uncharacterized. The transcript is spliced from 3 exons. Lineage: Eukaryota; Metazoa; Arthropoda; Insecta; Hymenoptera; Apidae. The record is from RefSeq and is a predicted model, not a curated record.
GAAAUGGAUCAAUUCCGUUGCGUUUCAGAAGCGAAUCGCAGAUGCUAAUGCGUUGCGUCAAAUGAAUUUCCUUAAGCUGAUGAGGGAGCCAUAAAUCGAGUUUCUUGACAUAGCCAAGCUGUUUUAAUUUUUUUUUUUAAUGCAUGUACGCGAUACAUUGAGCUUCUCUGCAACCUCACUCGUUGUGCUAUGACGAUCUGAAUCGAUAAUGGCCUUGAUACGGGUCUCAUCGACUUCGACUGGACGGCCAGAUCGUUGAUCAUUUUUCAGUGAAAAAUCAGCAGAACGAAAUUUGGCAAACCAAUUUUCACACUGCCUCUCUUUCAAGGCUUCAUUCCCAUAUACUGCACAUGACUUCUUGCGUGCUUGCGAUGCGUUCUUAUCUUUUUGAAAAUAAUACAAUAAAAUGUGUCUGAAAUGCGCGUCUUGUUCCUCCAAUUUCAAAUUGGGAUAAAAAUGAAACUAAGUAACUAAUCCAUAGAAUUUCUUUACUAAAUUAAAGAUGGAGGUCCAAACAAGAAGACAAUAUAGGUUAGGUGCUUUGAACACGUUGCAAAACAAAAGAAUGUGCUAAGCAUAAUGAACAGCAUAUGGACUCAAAAAGCAUACUUAAAAGAACAGACAAUAGAUCUUUUGUCUUUCCCUGGCAAGUCUGCUAGCAUUUAAACGAUUACAAAGAAAAUGACUUUAAUAAAUAAAUAUAACUGUAGCCUCGUUGAUAGCAAACUGUUUCUGCAUAGACUCGAAAGAAAAAAAUACCCAAGAACUCGUGUUUCAUUUUAAGAAACAUUUGAAAAUUAUUGAAUAACUGGAAAAGGGAAACUAGCUCUAGCCUGAGUCACGAACAGCAUAUGAAAUUUCCAAAAAAGAUGAAAAAAUACCAAGUCGUGUCCUUUCAUGAAGUUUCCAACAUUCUUACGAUCAUCUGCCCACUAAAUCACGCACGGUAUAGGUUGCAAUGCAAAAUACAAAAGAGCUGGCGUCUCCUACCACGUAGAUGUAUUCAAAUAUUCUCAACGAAUCUUCUGUGAUUUACGUCAGGGACCAUAGAUCCGGCAGAUAGGUUGUUACGUAGGCAAAACGGCGACGAAAAUUAUUUUCGAAGCUGUUCCAUAUACGAGCGAGUCAGUGAUUUAGCCUUCUGAUACGUCGAUCGCGUGACCUUCUUCUUGGUCGGUGUCGGAUUCCCCUUAAAAAUGGAAGCAACGAAAACGCAUUUUCCACAGGGACGGGAGAGCGCGCACGUCUUGUCGAGGAUGGCGCAUCGGAAACGAAGAUACGGUUUCCUUUUAUUUCUGCUCCGCGGUCAUAUGUCACGAUAGAAAUAUCCCUCGUCGAGGAACACGGGCUGAAUCUACACGGUAUACGUGCCGAGUAUCGAGAUCUCUUCCUUUGCACGGCGACGCGGUCUGCGAGUCUCUCUUUUAUUGCGACAGCUUAGGUUUCGUUUAAGAAGAAAUAUGGGCUGCCGUGAAUGGCUGAAACGAAACGAUGUUACGCACACGUCCCUUCGGUAAAUCGUACGUUUAUAUCCGACGAUGCGUUGCACAGUCACCGCUGAACAUUUUAAAACCGCGGUUAAUUAUAUUAACACAUUACGUACGGCGCUCUGCUCUCCAGAAGCAUUUUAGUAAACAAUAGAAUGCGUAUAUGCACAUUUUUAAUUUGCAUUUGGUAUUAUAUUUUUUAUUCAGUCCUCUUCUAUGUUUAGUCGCAUCGCUUAAUUCAAGAACGUUGCUGCUAUCAUUGAAUUCAUUUUCGUCGUAAGUGUUAUUUGGUGCAUCAGAUAAAUUAUUAAACAAUAGUUCACAGUUGACUUUCAUUUUCUUUACAUUUAUGUGUCAUUUUGCUACUUUUAUAGAGUUAGGGCCAGUUUCAUAAAAUAAUUUUUGUUAUAAAUCGUCAGUAACAGAGUGAAAAUGUAAAUGACUUUUGAAAAGCUGUUUCCUUACAAAUUAAAAGACAAACUUUGAAAUAACAAAAUGUAUAACAAUAAAACACAUGAUAAGGUACGAUAUACGAUCGGCACAGAUCUACCGAUGUACUGGCUGUACUGGCUCAUUGUUUUUACAUGCUUGAAAUGUCAACAUUCAGUUGUUUUGCUAAUUAUUAGUCAGAAAAAUGCGCAAGGCUUCAUUACCCUGUUAACGUAACAAAAACAUUUGUCUCUGGUUACUUAAGUCUUCGACUCAGUCGAAAAAACAUGAAAACGAGACAUCUCGUGACCCGCACGCAAUGUGUUAAUAUGUAUUGAGAUAUGUGUAAUUUUAGUAGCGACACACAUAUAUCAGUACGAGUGUGUGACAGUAUGUGCGUGCGCAACGUCUCGUAAACAGACAAAUGCGACUGUUCCGUUGGUAGUGUGGUAAAGAAAAUGGCGAAACAAAGAAAGUGCUGAGACGCAUGCAAAUGUGUAUCCACGAAUAUCUUGUAAAUCACAUAUUAAAUAAAUUUGAAACUAUUUGGACAUUAAUUCUAAGUGUAACGUAAAUGUUGCUAUACAUUUAUUUUGGCGAUUAAGAUUCACAAUUCUCAACAAUAUGUAAUAUGUGUGACCAAAUAUGCUGUAUGCAGAGUGAUUUCUUAACUCUUUGAGCGCUAUGAACGAAUAUAUGCGUUCUCACAUAACCACUCAAUUUAGGCUAAAAGUGGCGUUAAAAUGGCGUGAUAAAAAAGGUGUACGGAUGUUAUCCACCUGACAUUCUGAUGAUUUCGUUGAAACAAAAAAAAAUUAAUUAUCAAACUGGCAAAUCAAAACGAAAACCAAAUGAAAAUUCAGUCUGCUCAACUUGCGCUUUUUUCGUAAAAAAUACGCAGCCCACGGUGUGCUUCUCUGUAAAGAGUGGGCAGUCCAUGGCCCACGCUUAACGUCGGACAACGCAGCGCUGAAAAGGCUAAAAAUUUGGGCUACAGUAAAUAUUAUAUUUUUUCUUUCUUUCGUUCUAGUAGUUUUAAUAUCUUCGUGAAGAUUAUUUUGCGUUACACUGCACAAUGUAUCAGAGAUUAGAUUGCAAAUCGCAAAUAUAUUCUAUUGGUAUUUUAUAUACCAACGAUCUUUUGUAAGCUAAAGCUAUCGGAACAAAUGAAUAAACAACAAAAGUUCAUUGAUUCUUUCACCCCCUUUCGCCAUUUAUUAUUUCCAUGUGAAACUAGUCGAAAGAUUUAUACAACCCGACGACACAUUCGUUCUAUUCUGACAUUUACUGAUAUUUCAUGUACUAAUAAUGUUUUGUACGCCAAAGGUAGACGAACAAAUGAAUAAAAAAGAAAAAUCAAUCAGUCGUCGGCCUUUCAUCCCUCUGGUCGUUUAUUCAAAAAUGAAA